RNAcentral lists this unclassified non-coding RNA (224 nucleotides) under Ascomycota sp. RNAcentral's name for it is "partial contains small subunit ribosomal RNA, internal transcribed spacer 1, and 5.8S ribosomal RNA". The stretch from base 1 to 47 matches the Rfam family "Eukaryotic small subunit ribosomal RNA", at positions 1785 to 1831 of the family's 1831-position model. The record is from RNAcentral. Lineage: Eukaryota; Fungi; Ascomycota.
AAAGUCGUAACAAGGUCUCCGUUGGUGAACCAGCGGAGGGAUCAUUACCGAGUUUACAACUCCCAAACCCCUGUGAACAUACCUUAAUGUUGCCUCGGCGGAUCAGCCCGCUCCCGGUAAAACGGGACGGCCCGCCAGAGGACCCUAAACUCUGACUUUAUUGUAACUUCUGAGUAAAACAAACAAAUAAAUCAAAACUUUCAACAACGGAUCUCUUGGUUCUG